UCGUCAUGCAUUUUUAGUUAAAUAUUUAUAUUAUACUUAUUAAAAUGAGUAAUUUGUUAGAAUGAGUAAUUGCAUUUCUUGUAUUUAUAUUAUUAUUAAAUUAAUUUUAUUUUAACUUAUUGACUUUAACAUUUUAUUAUAUGUAGGAUUUUUAUUUUACAUGAACUGUUUUUCUUUUCUUUUUUUAGAACAUUGUUCUUGUCUAAAUGUUUUUCUUUACAUACAAAACUUGAAGAAUAUUCUUUUGAAACUUUCCCUAUUACAAUUUUCGCAUAAGAAAAUCUUAGGUGUUUUUAAUUUUUUUAAUACUAAUACUCA
This 318-nucleotide long non-coding RNA is filed under the name Brassica napus (rape). RNAcentral's name for it is "long non-coding RNA (BNAP_LNC020471)". The record is from RNAcentral. Lineage: Eukaryota; Viridiplantae; Streptophyta; Magnoliopsida; Brassicales; Brassicaceae.